RNAcentral lists this ribosomal RNA (243 nucleotides) under uncultured bacterium. RNAcentral's name for it is "partial 16S ribosomal RNA". It matches the Rfam family "Bacterial small subunit ribosomal RNA", at positions 77 to 339 of the family's 1533-position model. The record is from RNAcentral.
CUCUCGGGAUUUUGAAGAGUGGCGAACGGGUGAGGAACACGUAAGAAUCUACCUUUCGGUUGGGGAUAACUUCUGGAAACGGGAGCUAAUACCCAAUAUGCUGUGGAGUGAAAGAAUUUCGGUGGAGGAUGACUUCGCGGCCUAUCAGCUUGUUGGUGAGGUAAUGGCACACCAAGGCGACGAUCAGUAGCUGGUCUGAGAGGAUGGACAGCCACAUUGGGACUGAGACACGGCCCAGACUCC